UACAGUCACAUCAGGUUGAAACACUGGCUCCUGUAUGAUCACUAGAGUUAAGCAUCAUUGAGCCUGGUCAGUACCUAGAUGGGUAACUGCUUGGGAAUAACAGGUGCUAUA
Non-coding RNA from Acanthosepion pharaonis, 111 nucleotides. The record is from the annotation of a GenBank genome assembly. NCBI's taxonomy places the organism in Eukaryota, Metazoa, Mollusca, Cephalopoda, Sepiida, Sepiidae.